GGCGAGAUGGCCGAGUGGUUAUGGCGUGUGGUUCAGGAGAUCUGAGCAGUAUGAAAUAUUCUUAUAUUAUCUUCCACAUGGAGCAAUCCGCGUGGGUUCGAGUCCCACUCUCGUCA
Molecule: non-coding RNA, 116 nt
Organism: Diatrype stigma
Lineage: Eukaryota; Fungi; Ascomycota; Sordariomycetes; Xylariales; Diatrypaceae
Source: the annotation of a GenBank genome assembly